This 754-nucleotide ribosomal RNA is filed under the name Bacillus amyloliquefaciens. RNAcentral describes it as "bacterial SSU rRNA". It matches the Rfam family "Bacterial small subunit ribosomal RNA", at positions 22 to 758 of the family's 1533-position model. Lineage: Bacteria; Bacillati; Bacillota; Bacilli; Caryophanales; Bacillaceae. The record is from RNAcentral.
GCUCAGGACGAACGCUGGCGGCGUGCCUAAUACAUGCAAGUCGAGCGGACAGAUGGGAGCUUGCUCCCUGAUGUUAGCGGCGGACGGGUGAGUAACACGUGGGUAACCUGCCUGUAAGACUGGGAUAACUCCGGGAAACCGGGGCUAAUACCGGAUGGUUGUCUGAACCGCAUGGUUCAGACAUAAAAGGUGGCUUCGGCUACCACUUACAGAUGGACCCGCGGCGCAUUAGCUAGUUGGUGAGGUAACGGCUCACCAAGGCGACGAUGCGUAGCCGACCUGAGAGGGUGAUCGGCCACACUGGGACUGAGACACGGCCCAGACUCCUACGGGAGGCAGCAGUAGGGAAUCUUCCGCAAUGGACGAAAGUCUGACGGAGCAACGCCGCGUGAGUGAUGAAGGUUUUCGGAUCGUAAAGCUCUGUUGUUAGGGAAGAACAAGUGCCGUUCAAAUAGGGCGGCACCUUGACGGUACCUAACCAGAAAGCCACGGCUAACUACGUGCCAGCAGCCGCGGUAAUACGUAGGUGGCAAGCGUUGUCCGGAAUUAUUGGGCGUAAAGGGCUCGCAGGCGGUUUCUUAAGUCUGAUGUGAAAGCCCCCGGCUCAACCGGGGAGGGUCAUUGGAAACUGGGGAACUUGAGUGCAGAAGAGGAGAGUGGAAUUCCACGUGUAGCGGUGAAAUGCGUAGAGAUGUGGAGGAACACCAGUGGCGAAGGCGACUCUCUGGUCUGUAACUGACGCUGAGGAGCGAAA